Acinonyx jubatus (cheetah) is the source of this 1347-nucleotide long non-coding RNA. RefSeq lists it as uncharacterized. The transcript has 2 exons. The record is from RefSeq and is a predicted model, not a curated record. NCBI's taxonomy places the organism in Eukaryota, Metazoa, Chordata, Mammalia, Carnivora, Felidae.
GCGACGGCUCUGUCCUGGCCCCAUGGCAGGGAACCCGUCUGGGAUGGGGCCCCGCCCCCUGCACUGCCGGGCCGUGGGGGGCAUUCUGGCCCCGCCCCGCCCGGCGACUCGCGUUCGAACCCGCCCCCUCGCCACCGUCGGCCGGGCGCACGCCCCGAAUGCCACCCGGCUGGAGGUGGCCUGGCCCCGCCCCCUCUGGCCGACCGGGAGGCGGGGCCGGUGUGGGCUUCGGACCUGAGCUAAUCCGGGUCCAAGAUCUCCAGUGGCCUAGGAGGGGACCGAAGCUCGAAGGUCCCCCCACCCCCCACCCCCGCCCGGCUUUCCUCCCACCUUCCCCCAACAGGGGACUCUGGGAGAGUCCCUGGAAUGGUCCUCUUGGCGGGAAACCUUAGACAAACUUUUUCAGCUGGAAGGAACCUGGAAGAUCACUUGGGCCAACUGCCAUGCAUUCAUUUAUUCAUUCAUUAAAUUAGCAUUCUCUGGCCUCCUAUGUGCCAAGCACUAUGCUGGACUCUUGAGAGUGCAAGGGUCAAAGACACACAGCCUCUACAUUCCCGGAGCCUACAACCUAGAAUCUGCUGGCAAGGAAACAAACCAAAUAAGCAAAUAAAUAUAAUUGCACAUGCAUUUAUUUAUGUUUAUAUACACACACACAUACAUACAUACAUACAUACAUACAUACAUACUUGUGUGUGAUUACAAAGUGUGCUGUUAGAAAGGGAGUGAGCAUAGGGGGCAACGAUAUGAAGGACAGAGAGGACCAAUUUAGAUGGCAGAGGGCCUCCCUAAGCAGGUGACAUGUAAACCAUGCCCUGAAGGAUAAAAGGUCACAGAGGCUCAGAGGGUGUGACUCAACCAGGAUUAUGCAACAAUAGGUGGCAGAGACAGGACUAGAACCCUGGUAUCCUGCCCCCCAAGCCCAGUGGGAUUUCCACAUCAUUCCCCCCACCCCCUGCCUCCCACUCCCUGCACUGCUGCCUUCCUGAUGGGUUCCAGAAGUUGUUGAGGUCUGUGGGAGGGAAGUAGAGGGCAGGCGCGGUGACACCUACAAAUUUGGGCAAACCUUCUGGCUCCAGCCCUGGCCCUGGCCCAGAACAAGGGAAGGAAAUGCUGUCAACAGUCCAGAUGCUGUCAUCUGCCUGUGAUGCCUGGAACGGCAGCUGCCAAUUUUAGGACUUUGAGGAAGGAGCCUAAGAGGGUAUUGCAAUACACUGGAGAUGGCAGAGCACAAGUGAGGAUGGAACCAGUGUCCUUGAAGACAUAACCAAGUCCCUGUAUUAACCAGUCUGGAUUACCUUGCCCUUGGACUUCUCAUUAUGUGAAAGAAAAAUUGUCCUCAUUGUUUAA